This 292-nucleotide ribosomal RNA is filed under the name uncultured bacterium. Its description in RNAcentral is "partial 16S ribosomal RNA". It matches the Rfam family "Bacterial small subunit ribosomal RNA", at positions 29 to 313 of the family's 1533-position model. The record is from RNAcentral.
AAUGAACGCUGGCGGCGCGCCUAAUACAUGCAAGUCGAGCGAGAAGACGUAGCAAUACGUUUGUAAAGCGGCGAACGGGUGAGGAAUACAUGGGUAACCUACCCUCGAGUGGGGAAUAACUAGCCGAAAGGUUAGCUAAUACCGCGUACGCUCCUUGGACUUCGGUUCAGGGAGGAAAGCGAUACCGUGGGUAUCGCGCUCUGGUUGGGCUCAUGUCCUAUCAGCUUGUUGGGAGGCAACGGCUCACCAAGGCUUCGACGGGUAGCUGGUCUGAGAGGACGAUCAGCCACAC